Long non-coding RNA from Folsomia candida, 788 nucleotides. RefSeq lists it as uncharacterized. Lineage: Eukaryota; Metazoa; Arthropoda; Collembola; Entomobryomorpha; Isotomidae. The transcript is spliced from 3 exons. The record is from RefSeq and is a predicted model, not a curated record.
UAGAGCUUAUUAAGAGAAACUAAAAUGCUAAAAUCCGUAAUAUUUUAUUUAUAUUUUCCUAUGGUAAAGCUCUGCUCGUUGAUGUUCAUAUUUCCAUUUAGCAUUCGACUUCGUAACAACGAGUGCGAGUUCGGGAUUUCAAAAGCAAGAAAGAUUGUCGGUGCAUGUUUUCAUUUUGGAUGGAGGCUGCAUGCAAUUCUUUCACUACGAAAAGAUCUUCAAGGAUCCGAUCUAACCCAGGAUCCUCAUCAAUUGUACAAAAUAGCAAAUAGUGCUACCUUUUAUGCCUCCAAUCUUAUUUUUUCAUACAUUUGCCUCGGAAAAGUCGCUUUCAUUCAAGAUUUGAUGAUCACGAUGUAUAAAUACAGCAAAGAAAUGCAGUUUCUUAACACAUCAAAAAGGAAAUUUACAGGGUUUGGAGUCCUGAUAUGUGUGUUGUACAUAACUCAGGGUGUAGUGACGUUUAUUCUGGAAUCUGAGCUAUUUCUUUCCGGAUACGAAGACGGCUCAUUUUUUGUUCAAUUUAUCAAUCAGCUACAUGGUCAAGUUUUGCAUCUGUUGUUCGCCACUCAAGAAACUAACGCCACACUUUUGGGGUCUAACACUUUUUCAGUUUGGAAAUUGUUUUCGGCGAUGAUUUAUAUAAUUUUGGAAGGGUUUCAUACCAUCGCAUUCACAAUGUCGGAAUGUCUGAUUUGUGUCUCCUGCUUGGCAAUUUACACACUAUCCAAGGAGUUCAAUGACGAUAUUCAGAAUCGUGUGGUAUCACCCAACAACCUGCAGCAAGU